UUUUGGCCAUUACAAACAGUGCUGUUGUGAAUGUUGUGCCUGCCUGUCUUCCAGCUGGACAUAGGGGUCAUUUUGACUGGCGCGGCAGAAUGAGGAGGGACAAGGUGUUCCAGUUAAAGUCACAAUUUCCAAGAACCUAUAGGGGACAUGAAGUGAGGACCUGCUGUAAUUGGACAAGUGGGCAAGGAUGUAUGUACAGGGGAGUUCAUUGCAGCAUGAUUUGUAUUAGCAAAAAUGUCUAUUAAUAUGAGUCAACGAACAUUUAUACAUUGAAGUACUGUGUACCUCUUAAAAACAGUGAUAUUGAUCUGUUGUAGUCCCAUGGAAAUAUAUCCAAUGUAUAUGUAAAAAUAAUCAGAUUACCAA
RNAcentral lists this long non-coding RNA (366 nucleotides) under Homo sapiens (human). RNAcentral's name for it is "HSALNT0190810". Lineage: Eukaryota; Metazoa; Chordata; Mammalia; Primates; Hominidae. The record is from RNAcentral.